This 158-nucleotide unclassified non-coding RNA is filed under the name uncultured Pseudeurotiaceae. RNAcentral's name for it is "sequence contains ITS1". Lineage: Eukaryota; Fungi; Ascomycota; Leotiomycetes; Thelebolales; Pseudeurotiaceae. The record is from RNAcentral.
AUGAGAACUUGCCCUCCGGGGUAGAUCUCCCACCCUCUGUUUACAUACUUUGUUGCUUUGGCAGGCCCGUCUUCGGACCGCCGGCUUCGGCUGGCCCGUGCCUGCCAGAGGAUUCAAAACUCUGAAUUAAAUGUCGUCUGAGUACUAUGUAAUAGUUA